AGCAGCCGCGGUAAUUCCAGCUCCAAUAGCGUAUAUUAAAGUUGUUGCAGUUAAAAAGCUCGUAGUUGAAUUUCGGGGUCAGUAGGUUGGUCGUGCCACCGGUACGUACUGGUCUCACUGAUUCCUCCUUCCUGAUGAGCUGUAAUGCCAUUAAUUUGGUGUUGCAGGGAAUCUGGACUGUUACUUUGAAAAAAUUAGAGUGUUUAAAGCAGGCUAACGCUUGAAUACAUUAGCAUGGAAUAAUGAAAUAGGACGUUCGAUCCUAUUUUGUUGGUUUCUAGGAUUGACGUAAUGAUUAAUAGGGAUAGUUGGGGGCAUUAGUAUUCAAUUGUCAGAGGUGAAAUUCUUGGAUUUAUUGAAGACUAACUACUGCGAAAGCAUUUGCCAAGGAUGUUUUCAUUAAUCAAGAACGAAAGUUAGGGGAUCGAAGACGAUCAGAUACCGUCGUAGUCUUAACCAUAAACUAUGCCGACUAGGGAUCGGAUGAUGUUAAUUUUUUAAUG
This 503-nucleotide ribosomal RNA is filed under the name uncultured Glomus. RNAcentral describes it as "SSU rRNA". It matches the Rfam family "Eukaryotic small subunit ribosomal RNA", at positions 569 to 1076 of the family's 1831-position model. Lineage: Eukaryota; Fungi; Glomeromycota; Glomeromycetes; Glomerales; Glomeraceae. The record is from RNAcentral.